UUUGUGUCAUCGUGGAUUGUGGCUUUAUAUCUAGCGACUCUCCAUUUACUUUGGAAAUAAUCAAAUUUUCAACAGAAGGAAAAAGAACAGUAACGGAGGAUUUAUUUUAGGAAAUAUGUAGCACCAGAGAUUGUGCAAGCGUUUUGAGUCACUGCCAAGGUGCAAGAAAGAUUGUCAUGAAUCCUCGGGCUGUUCUAUUGCUCACACUGGUGGCCGUUCCAUGCACAUCUGCGAUAACUUGUAAAGCUGAUCAGUUUGCUUGUGCAAAUCAAGAAAAAUGUAUCCAUGCGUCUCUACGCUGCGACACCCACAGGCAAUGUAGCGAUGGAUCAGACGAACAAUGCACUGGCCGUAAGUACUUUAAAUUCAGACUGUGAUCUAUUUGUGUGUCGUCUCAAUAUGUACUAAUACAAUAACAACAUUAAGCAAUUGUCGUAUGAUUGAUUCGCCAUUCCAAGUUGUCUUUAGUUUCUUUAAGUGGUUCAUAUGUAGCCAUCAGGGACAAUUAAACAUGACUGAAGUAUGAAAAAGGGUUUUUAGAGGAAUAAUGAAAAAGAAUGAGGCAUAACAAAAGAAAA
Molecule: non-coding RNA, 578 nt
Organism: Pocillopora verrucosa
Lineage: Eukaryota; Metazoa; Cnidaria; Anthozoa; Scleractinia; Pocilloporidae
Source: RefSeq, a predicted model, not a curated record